Molecule: ribosomal RNA, 517 nt
Filed under: uncultured bacterium
Lineage: Bacteria
Description: bacterial SSU rRNA
Rfam family: Bacterial small subunit ribosomal RNA
Source: RNAcentral
GAUGAACGCUAGCGGGAGGCUUAACACAUGCAAGUCGAGGGGCAGCAUAGGGUAGCAAUACUCUGAUGGCGACCGGCAAACGGGUGAGUAACGCGUAUGCAACCUACCCUGUACAGGGGGAUAACCCGGAGAAAUUCGGACUAAUAUCCCGUAAUAAUAUCCGGAGGCAUCUUUGGAUAUUUAAAGUUUCGACGGUACGGGAUGGGCAUGCGUAACAUUAGCUGGUUGGUAAGGUAACGGCUUACCAAGGCUAUGAUGUUUAGGGGUCCUGAGAGGGUGGUCCCCCACACUGGUACUGAGACACGGACCAGACUCCUACGGGAGGCAGCAGUGAGGAAUAUUGGUCAAUGGGCGCAAGCCUGAACCAGCCAUCCCGCGUGCAGGAAGACGGCCCUAUGGGUUGUAAACUGCUUUUCCAGGGAGAGAAACUUACGCACGUGUUGCGUGACUGACGGUACCCUGGGAAUAAGCAAUCGGCUAACUCCGUGCCAGCAGCCGCGGUAAAACACGGAGAGUA